Molecule: long non-coding RNA, 5740 nt
Filed under: Daucus carota (carrot)
Lineage: Eukaryota; Viridiplantae; Streptophyta; Magnoliopsida; Apiales; Apiaceae
Description: long non-coding RNA (DCAR_LNC001494)
Source: RNAcentral
GGAUACCGGACUCGCUUUACCGUAUAGGUGAAGUGCAUGAGGAGGAAAGUUGCGUGGAUGAGGCUGCUGAGGAGUUUAUACGAAAAUUCUACAAGGAUCUGAAGAAGCAAACAUAAUUUAUUUGUAAUUAAUUAAGAUAAUAAUCAUCAAUAUUUUCUCACAUGAUUGGAAGAAGGAAAUGACUAUAGCUACCUUAACUAAGAAAAUUUAAAGUUCAGAGUUGCAGGCUGGUCAAUUUUUGAGAGAUCUUAUUUCUGUUAUACAUGAAUUUAGCAGAGGAACCACCAUUUUAUUGAGAACCUCAAAUAAAUAUACAAAUUCCGCAAGCAGAAUCUGUUUUAUGUAAUAAUAUAUUUAACGAUAUUCUUCGGAACACAUAUAACUUUCAUAAUCUUCUAUAAAAAAUUCGUGAUUUUAGUUCCUAAAUCGUAAGCGACUGAAUCCGUUUUUUAGUUUCUAAUAAGUAAUACGCAGCGCAUCAAAAGAUUGAUUUUAUUUAUUAUUAUUUUAUUUUUACCGCAAGAAAUCAUAUACAGGACAGAGCUGCACCAGGAAGGCAGAACGGUGCAGUUGCUAUAUUUCUCAUGAAAUUAAUUAAACUCGGCUACUUCUAUUUAUUAAUCAUUUUAGUUAUUCAAUAAACUUUGAACAUCCAUAACAAAUUUGAUAAUUUACGACUUUUCGAUUUGAAACAAGUCAAACUCAAGCUCAUAUUUCUCUUCAUAAAACAAAAAUAAAUAAAUAUUCAUAUUAAACCAAUAUAAAAUACACAUACCGAUAAGUACAAAUAUAAAUGCAUUUUUGUAGGAGCUUUAAGAUAAAAAUUGAAAACAAUUUUUGAAGUGCCCGACUUUUUUCAUUUUUUAAAUAAUAAUCACAAGUUGAAAAUAAAAUAGAUAAUAUGUUUGCAAACAGCUCCCAUAUGAGUCGGUUUCUAAACUUUGCAACCAUUAGAAUUAGAACUGUCUAUUAAUGAACCGUACUUGGAAUAUAAUAUCAUGUUUAAUAAUUUGGCUCCAUUCGAUAUAUUACAUAAUAUAUUUAACAUGUUUAUUUGUUAUUCAAAACACCGACCGAAUGAACUAAUUUAUAAUAAAGUUACCUGACGAGCGUACAGAAAAAAUAGGCAUUUUUUAAUAUUGGAUAUACUCCAAUACGAAAAAUAAACUGACUUUGUAAAGGCCGAACGAUCAACAAUGACUUUCGGAUAACUGAUCAAGACAAAUAUAUUCUCUCUUCCGGAUGCUAAUAUGGACAUACCCAAACUGAUCAAAAUUAUGUAUAUUUAGUUAUAACCAAGCUAGUUAUUCGGCACAAAAUAUGGUUAUGCGGAUAUUGAAAGUCAUAAACAAAAAGACAAAGGGAAGAUAAAAUUAUGGAGGAGCUUGUUGCAUACUAAGAAAGUAUUCUCCAAUCUCAAGGGUUUAACAACCAUACACGAACAAGUUCUGGGAUCUUAGUACUUGAAGAUAAUGUCAAAUUACAUUCGCUUAAGCAUAUACCCUCGUAUUAAAAUAGAGUUGAGAUUAGUUUUCAUUUGUCAGUAUUGGUCGGUUCAAAUAGGAGUAUCUCAUAUUUCUAUUACUCUUAUUCGACAUUGAAUGUCAUAUAUAUAAAAUUACAAUUCAACAUGUAUCUAGCAUUCUAUAGAAAUGUGAUAAGUACGUUAAACACUUUGGACCUAUAACAAAAACACAUUCCGGUGCAUCAUUUGGACCAAACAAAUCUAAAUUCCUGCAAGUUGAAUCAAUCAAAUAGAGUCACAGUAUAUUUUGGGAAAAACUUUUGCAGGAAGAUUAUGAAAAAAUUAAAGGAAUAAAAAAAAAAUAGGAGCAGACAACUGGCAAAUUAUAUCCCAAAGCUUAACAUAGUAACACAUCAUUCCUAAAGUCAGGGGGAAAUAAUCUCUCCUACCUUCAUGAUGCAGGUGUUGUUGAGAUCUUCACAUGUUUAUUCCGAAAUAACCACUUCUGCAAGAGUGGAGGUAAGUUAUAUAAUAAACAUAUUUAUGUAUAAUGAAAUCCAUUGCCAGCAUAGUCUAAUGCUCUAAAUGAAGUUGGAAGAAGGUAGUAGUGCGAAGGCAUAAAAUUAAAGGUUAUUUACAUUUAGCCCUAACAAUAUUUGUGUUGUGCACAAAACCUCAAAAUUAAAAUACGUGCUUCCAUACCUUCAAGCUUUAAUGUUUUUCAUUUGUACAACCUGACCCUUUUUUCAAAUGUUUCUUGUAAAUAUUCCCUUCACCGUAAAACAUAUGUAUGACUCCAAAUAAAUUUCCUUCCCCGAAAAAAGUUGUUGGGUGUCCUGCCAUUUUAUUUUGCAAACUGUAUUAAUUGAGCUUUAUUUUCUAUCCUGCAGUGAAGAAUAUUUAUAUAAUUAAAUUAUAAAAAAGGGUCAUGGUGUACAAAUGUGAAACAUAUAAGGCAUGGAGGUAGAUUUUCAAACUUUGAGGGCUUAUGUGUACAGAAACGGAUACUGUAAGGGCUAUAAGAUAAAUAACCCUUAAUGUAAAUUCAAAUAUCUCAUGAAGACUGUAAAAUAUACUUGACAUGUAUCAAAGGAAGCUAACCUGUUUAUGUCGUUAUAACUUUUCUUCUUUGUAUCAAGUUCAAAUAUUAUAUUUCCCAGUGUCACAUCAAACAAGAAUGCAGAUUCUGGACAUUGUUAACGAGGAGACAUCCAAUUUUUACCAGCACUCCAUUCCAGACAAACAUCUAUUGACAAACGAAAAAAUAAAAUAACUUCAAUCUUCUUACAAAAAGAUAAGGAAUAUUGGUGUGGUUAACAAAGCAUUACGACACUAGACAGGGAACCAGAUAUUACUGAAUCAGAACUUGUGGGAGAUAAAGCAAGUGCAAUUUAGCUAGCUGGCUGAAUUUUAGAACAACAAUUUGUCUUUCUUUUUGUACACACAUAAUUGACUCGAAUGACAUGUCCUAAAAUUACUAUAAAACAGCAAUAUGAUAUUAUAGAAGACCAAUGUUAGUUGAGAUAAUAUUUGGAUCAUUACUUUUAAGAUGAAUGAUACAUUUACGCACAUCGACUAUGUAUACAGAUAAGCUGAAGAAAAAAUUUUGGGGGUGAACUUAACAAGGUAUUCUCUGCAAGCAAUUUUAACUUUUAUUCUGUAACACAUUCUCAAUAUUAUAAAUAUGACUACAAUCUGGUUUCUUAUGGUGAUAAACAUGUCACUAAAAAUAUAAUAAUGAAAUGCAAACAUUAAAACUCGAAUAAUCAAUCACAUCAAAGAAGAAAACAAAUGGCUUGUUGGCCUCUAUGGAAGCAAGAAAUAUAAAGUGAUAUUGAUGUAGAUGCAUGUAUAUAUAGUGUGGAUCCAGCGAAUGAUCAUCGCUGGAGAGACAGAGAAAAAAAGAUUGACAUAUAUAUACUCAGGGACUGAGGAUGGCAAACUGUAAUAUGGAGGACACAUUUGGAUCCUCCAAAACAACAGUUAGUAAAACAGUUCAACAUACUAGUGUAAAGAAAGACGACGAAAAUGAUGCAGUGGUGCACAAAGAGAUGAAUACCCAUGAUGGAAAAAUAUUUAUUGACAAGUUCUUUGAGAUUCCAGAGGAAGACAAUGAUAAGUUCUUGAGAAAGAUUAGAACACGGAUGGACAAGUAAGUGCUUUACUCAAUCACUGAUAGGAUGUAGACUUUGAUACCAUUACGUAUGUAUAUAUGACAGCAAAUUCCUACUACCUUUAUUAACUCGAUUUGGCAUGAGUUGGUGUAGAGCAGGGAUUGACUUGCCAAAAGUAGAAGUCAGGUUUCAGAAUUUAAGUGUGGAAGGCAAUUGCUUGAUCGGAGAUCGAGCACUUCCCACCUUGCCAAAUGUUGCUUGGAAUGUUGCCGAAUCAGCCCUGAGUGGCUGCCUUGGGAUUAAAUUAGCAGGGCAAGCAAAACACAUGAUUCUAAAAGAUGCAAGUGGCAUCAUUAAACCAGCAAGGUAUUGGCAUACACUUAAAUACAUAUAUCGAUAAACAUACAUAUGAACAAGAUGCAUGCAAAGAUCGACUAUACUAAGAUUGAUAAAUAUAUCGACAGAUAUUAGUGAAUCCCCUCAAAAUUUUCAAAUGUUGUGACAGGAUGACACUCCUACUAGGCCCACCUUCUUCUGGGAAAACAACCCUCUUAUUGGCUCUUGCUGGCAUGCUGAACUCUACCUUAAAAGUUAGUUACAAUCUCCUUUUUUUCAUACCUCUUUAUGUCUUGGUUAAAAAAAAUUCCUAAUGACUUGUCUCGAUAUACAGAUUUGUCAAACAUUUUUGAAAACUGUAUAAAAAAGCUCUUAUUUUUGUACCACACAUUCCUUGCUACAGGUUACAGGCGAAAUCACUUACAAUGGGUAUAGACUGGACGAAUUUGUGCCACAGAAAACAUCAUCAUACAUUAGCCAGACUGAUAUUCAUGACGGACAAAUGACCGUAAAAGAGACCUUAAAUUUUUCUUCCAGGUGCCAGGGUGUUGGACCACGAUAUGGUACUUUAUUAAGCUUGCAAAUGAAGUCCUUCACAUUAUCAGCCUCAUUUAUCACUACAAUUCAUCUGCUAGUAGGUAAAUAUUUCAGUUGAUAUUAUGGAAAUUGAUCACUAUAAAAAAAUUGUAGAACUCCUAACUGAGCUUGAAAGGAAGGAAAAGGAAGCUGGGAUAGUUCCUGAUCCUGAGGUUUCUUAUUUCAUGAAGGUACUAUAUUUAGUCAUGCUAUUCCUAAGGGAAAACAUACGGUAAUUUUCCAAGUGCAAUUGCUUUUUAUUGACUUUGUAUUGUUAAACUUUUGACUGUCAAAGCAAACAGCAACAGGAGGAGUUGAAAACUGUUUUAUUACAGAGUAUACUCUAAAAGUAAGUUGGGACACUUUUGUUUAAAUAAAUAUUAGAUAAACUUGCUUAAAUGUGUUGGGACUUUUUAUACUUCCCAACAAAACGUCCUAAUAUAUAUAAAAAGUAUAUGUAACUAUGUCUUCUUACUACCGACUACUACAGAUCUUGGGACUUGAUAAAUGCCGAGACACUAUUGUGGGGAAUGAAAUGCACCGAGGAAUAUCAGGGGGCGAGAAAAAGAGAGUCACUAUAGGUCAAUUUCUUCCCAUUUCCUUUGUAUUAUCCCUAAAUUUCGACAACAGUUUGAAAGGAUCUAAUUGCUACUAAUUUCAAAAAGUGACAUCAGAGCUAAUCAACAAUGUACUAAAUGAUGACUAAUUUCUAAGAAAAGGAUGAUGCUUAUUUAAGUAGUCACUGUUGCUAAAGCAGAAAAGAGUUCACCUAACCAACUUGCCUGGAGUUAGAUUGUGCUUAAAAGUUAACAGUUUCUUCAGAAUGUUCUUGUCAAAAUUCAGGAAAUUUAUAUGCGUUCAGAUUUUUGUCAUAAUUCACAGGGUAAACUAACACCUCGUACACAACAAUGUUCAACACACACACACACACACACACACACACACACACACACACACACACACAUUGUGAAAUUUUGCUUGCUUAACCAGUGUGCAUCAUUUCAUUAAAAAGAACAAGCAAUUACAGAUGUUCAAACUUCAAAUAUUGUUUAGUUCAUCUUAUAAAAUGUACUUACAGGAGAGAUGAUUGUUGGGCCAACAAAGACUCUAUUUAUGGACGACAUAUCCACAGGCCUUGACAGCUCCACAGCAUUUCAGAUAGUGAAAUGCUUGCAGCAGAUUGUCCACCAGACAGAAGCUACAGUGUUAAUUUCCCUCCUUCAGCCAGACCCAGAGAUAUUCAAUCUCU